Molecule: long non-coding RNA, 336 nt
Organism: Hippopotamus amphibius kiboko
Lineage: Eukaryota; Metazoa; Chordata; Mammalia; Artiodactyla; Hippopotamidae
Exons: 3
Source: RefSeq, a predicted model, not a curated record
AUCAGAAGCUUUAUAGACAAGUAAAAGCUAAAAGAGUUGAGUACCACCAAACCAGCUUUACAACAAAUGCUAAAGGAAAUUCUUUAGGUGGAAAAAGAAAAGGCCACAACUAAAAACAAGAUAAUUAUGAAACGAAAAAGCUCACCAGAAAAGGCAAACAUAUGGUAAAGACCUCUCUGCUGCUCUCUCCUCCAUGGCUUACAAGAGACAGAAAGAAUGAAGACAUGGCGCACGUGUUGGGACGGCCACACCUGACCCCCCACCCUCUUGGUGUGGAGGCAGGAGAGAAAAUCCAAAAUUCUUCAUUUUGGCUAGAACCAAAGUUCUUGACCCAGG